Molecule: ribosomal RNA, 685 nt
Filed under: Escherichia coli
Lineage: Bacteria; Pseudomonadati; Pseudomonadota; Gammaproteobacteria; Enterobacterales; Enterobacteriaceae
Description: partial 23S ribosomal RNA
Rfam family: Bacterial large subunit ribosomal RNA
Source: RNAcentral
UGCUAAUCUGCGAUAAGCGUCGGUAAGGUGAUAUGAACCGUUAUAACCGGCGAUUUCCGAAUGGGGAAACCCAGUGUGUUUCGACACACUAUCAUUAACUGAAUCCAUAGGUUAAUGAGGCGAACCGGGGGAACUGAAACAUCUAAGUACCCCGAGGAAAAGAAAUCAACCGAGAUUCCCCCAGUAGCGGCGAGCGAACGGGGAGCAGCCCAGAGCCUGAAUCAGUGUGUGUGUUAGUGGAAGCGUCUGGAAAGGCGUGCGAUACAGGGUGACAGCCCCGUACACAAAAAUGCACAUGCUGUGAGCUCGAUGAGUAGGGCGGGACACGUGGUAUCCUGUCUGAAUAUGGGGGGACCAUCCUCCAAGGCUAAAUACUCCUGACUGACCGAUAGUGAACCAGUACCGUGAGGGAAAGGCGAAAAGAACCCCGGCGAGGGGAGUGAAAAAGAACCUGAAACCGUGUACGUACAAGCAGUGGGAGCACGCUUAGGCGUGUGACUGCGUACCUUUUGUAUAAUGGGUCAGCGACUUAUAUUCUGUAGCAAGGUUAACCGAAUAGGGGAGCCGAAGGGAAACCGAGUCUUAACUGGGCGUUAAGUUGCAGGGUAUAGACCCGAAACCCGGUGAUCUAGCCAUGGGCAGGUUGAAGGUUGGGUAACACUAACUGGAGGACCGAACCGACUAA